CAAGUCGAGCGGCAGCGCGGGGCAACCUGGCGGCGAGCGGCGAACGGGUGAGUAAUGCAUCGGAACGUGUCCAUGUCGUGGGGGAUAGCCCGGCGAAAGCCGGAUUAAUACCGCAUACGCCCGAGAGGGGAAAGUGGGGGACCGCAAGGCCUCACGCGAUUGGGUCGGCCGAUGUCCGAUUAGCUAGUUGGCGGGGUAAAGGCCCACCAAGGCGAUGAUCGGUAGCUGGUCUGAGAGGAUGAUCAGCCACACUGGGACUGAGACACGGCCCAGACUCCUACGGGAGGCAGCAGUGGGGAAUUUUGGACAAUGGGGGCAACCCUGAUCCAGCCAUUCCGCGUGAGUGAAGAAGGCCUUCGGGUUGUAAAGCUCUUUUGUCCGGAACGAAACGGGUAGCGUGAACAUCGCUGCCUACUGACGGUACCGGAAGAAUAAGCACCGGCUAACUACGUGCCAGCAGCCGCGGUAAUACGUAGGGUGCGAGCGUUAAUCGGAAUUACUGGGCGUAAAGCGUGCGCAGGCGGUUUUGUAAGCCAGAUGUGAAAUCCCCGGGCUUAACCUGGGAAUGGCAUUUGGGACUGCAAGGCUCGAGUGCGGCAGAGGAGACUGGAAUUCCUGGUGUAGCAGUGAAAUGCGUAGAUAUCAGGAGGAACACCGAUGGCGAAGGCAGGUCUCUGGGCUGACACUGACGCUCAUGCACGAAAGCGUGGGGAGCAAACAGGAUUAGAUACCCUGGUAGUCCACGCCCUAAACGAUGUCGACUGGUUGUUGGGGGUUUGACACUCUCAGUAACGAAGCUAACGCGUGAAGUCGACCGCCUGGGGAGUACGGCCGCAAGGUUAAAACUCAAAGGAAUUGACGGGGACCCGCACAAGCGGUGGAUUAUGUGGAU
This 892-nucleotide ribosomal RNA is filed under the name uncultured beta proteobacterium. Its description in RNAcentral is "bacterial SSU rRNA". It matches the Rfam family "Bacterial small subunit ribosomal RNA", at positions 58 to 946 of the family's 1533-position model. Lineage: Bacteria; Pseudomonadati; Pseudomonadota; Betaproteobacteria. The record is from RNAcentral.